CGCGUAGGUGGUAGUGCAAGUCUGAGGUGGAAUCCUAUGGCUUAACCAUAGAACUGCCUUGGAGACUGCAUUACUUGAGUCAGUGAGGGGAGGGUAGAAUUCCUGGUGUAGCGGUGAAAUGCGUAGAUAUCAGGAGGAAGGCCGGUGGCGAAGGCGGCCCUCUGGCGCUGAACUGACACUGAGGCGCGAAAGCGUGGGGAGCAAACAGGAUUAGAUACCCUGGUAGUCCACGCCCUAAACGGUGGGUACUAGGUGUAGGGCUCGUAAGGGUUCUGUGCCGAAGCGAAAGCAUUAAGUACCCCGCCUGGGGAGUGCGGCCGCAAGGUUGAA
RNAcentral lists this ribosomal RNA (330 nucleotides) under uncultured bacterium. RNAcentral's name for it is "bacterial SSU rRNA". It matches the Rfam family "Bacterial small subunit ribosomal RNA", at positions 568 to 898 of the family's 1533-position model. The record is from RNAcentral.